Long non-coding RNA from Mytilus californianus (California mussel), 299 nucleotides. RefSeq lists it as uncharacterized. The record is from RefSeq and is a predicted model, not a curated record. The transcript has 3 exons. Lineage: Eukaryota; Metazoa; Mollusca; Bivalvia; Mytilida; Mytilidae.
CCAGACACAGAUUUGGUACCAAUGGACACUGAUGACACCGAAAAAAUAACUCGAUUACUUGACACGUCAAAUCGUACUUUUAGCAUAACUGAUGCCGGUGGAAACAACAUGGGGCUUAUGCGUGUAGUGUCCUCUACAGUUAGCUCGUAUGCUUCCCUGAAUAUGACAUUGGAGUCCGCCUCUGAGAUAUCUAGUCCUGACGAAAUUUUAGAAUAUGGAAACGAAAAUAUUUCUGAUGUACAGAACGUUUUAACAGAGACAACUGAUCACUUUGUCCAGGAAAUCUUAAAUCGAAUCCC